GGAGAGGUGCGUGAGUGGCUGAAACGGCAUGUCUGGAGAACAUGUGGGCCCGUAAGGGUCUCGUGGGUUCAAAUCCCACCCUCUCCGCCA
RNAcentral lists this transfer RNA (90 nucleotides) under Candidatus Omnitrophota bacterium. RNAcentral describes it as "Candidatus Omnitrophica bacterium tRNA-Ser". It matches the Rfam family "tRNA". From Rfam's summary of the family: Transfer RNA (tRNA) molecules are approximately 80 nucleotides in length. The record is from RNAcentral. Lineage: Bacteria; Pseudomonadati; Candidatus Omnitrophota.